Molecule: ribosomal RNA, 774 nt
Filed under: uncultured bacterium
Lineage: Bacteria
Description: bacterial SSU rRNA
Rfam family: Bacterial small subunit ribosomal RNA
Source: RNAcentral
AGAGUUUGAUCAUGGCUCAGAAUCAACGCUGGCGGCGUGCCUAACACAUGCAAGUCGAACGAGAAAGCGGGGGCAACUCCGUGAGUAAAGUGGCGACCGGGUGAGUAACACGUGACCAAUCUACCCUCGAGUGGGGGAUAACUCCGGGAAACCGGAGCUAAUACCGCAUAACAUCUUUGGAACCCAGGUUCUGGAGAUCAAAGGAGCAAUUCGCUUGAGGAGGAGGUCGCGGCUGAUUAGCUAGUUGGCGGGGUAAUGGCCCACCAAGGCGAAGAUCGGUAGCCGGCCUGAGAGGGCGCGCGGCCACACUGGAACUGAAACACGGUCCAGACUCCUACGGGAGGCAGCAGUGGGGAAUUUUGCGCAAUGGGGGAAACCCUGACGCAGCAACGCCGCGUGGAGGAUGAAGUCCCUUGGGACGUAAACUCCUUUCGACCGGGAAGAUAAUGACGGUACCGGUGGAAGAAGCACCGGCUAACUCUGUGCCAGCAGCCGCGGUAAUACAGAGGGUGCGAGCGUUGUUCGGAAUUAUUGGGCGUAAAGGGCGCGUAGGCGGUGUGGUAAGUCACCUGUGAAAUCUCCGGGCUUAACUCGGAGCUUGCAGGCGAAACUGCCGUGCUGGAGUGUGGGAGAGGUGCGUGGAACUCCCGGUGUAGCGGUGAAAUGCGUAGAUAUCGGGAGGAACACCUGUGGCGAAAGCGGCGCACUGGACCACAACUGACGCUGAGGCGCGAAAGCUAGGGGAGCAAACAGGAUUAGAUACCCUAGUAGUCC